GUAAAAAUUCAUAAAACCCAAUCCUAAACAUGUUAUUAUUAUAUAAAUACAUAAAUUAUGUGAGUGUGAGUUAAGUUUUAUGACGAUAUUUAAAUCUGCUGCAUUUAUCGAGAUUAUCAUAUUAUUAAUAUUUAAAAUACCCCAUAAAAAGUAUUUUAAAAUAUCAUGGCUCAGUUUCAUUUGGAUAUAAUAUGGAUUUAAAAAAUACGGCACCAUAAUAAUAUUAUAAUUAAAAACAUGCACUUAUUUACUGUGAUCACCUUUGCCUUUGAGAUUUCUGGACGAAGACUGAAAAUAUAUAUCUAAUUAUGUAUUAUGUAUUGGAAUAUGAAAUUAAAUGGAAUAUAGUAUUCAAACAUGUACGUACGUGCAAACGGGGUGCCAUAUAAAAAUCAGUAGCUGAAAUUCGACUAUAUCGAUGUAUGAUAUUAUUAUACUUUUUUAUAUAUUAUUAUUUUAUUAUUGUACAAAAUAUUGUGCCUUAAACGGUGCCUUGAAAUCGGCCUACUAUGUGCCAUAGAGGGCAAUAGCUAAGGAGUAGGUGGCAAUACGGUGUAACAUUAGCUCUUGAUUGGUAGAGAUAGUCAAGAUAAUUUUGAAUUUUUUGAACAGGGUAAAUGAGGGGCAUGGUCAAAUGCCGCGGAUUUUUCAAAUAUAAAAAAUAAAAAAUUUUAUUACGAUAAUUUGAUUACAUAUUAUAUUGGAAAACCGUUUGCCAGACGUCAAAUUAUUUUUAUAAAACCAUCAACAAAAAAUCUUUACUAACCAGGUGACGAAUUUUUCAUUUAAAAUUCAAAUUCUUGUAAACUAUUAGAAAGAAUGAUUUUAAGAUGGAUGUUUUACAUAUUUAAUUAGUAAUAAUGCUAUGCCAGACUGACUUUCGUGGUUUUCAUAAUAAAUAAAUGAAAACUGUUGAUACCAAUAUACCUUAAGUCAAAGUCAGGUCAAAAUCAUUUAUUCAAAGUAGGUACAAUUGUACUCCUUUUGAUGGUCAGAAUUGUUAAUUUGUACGAUAUAGUGUUGAUAAUUAAAUUACGUAACUUAAAACUAAAGCUACGAGGGUUUCAAACCUACCAAUGAGCUAAGUAUUUCACAAUUUCUGCCACCAGCUCUUUAGUUACAAAGGGAACAUCGGUGUACAAAGUAGUGUAUGGAGAUCGAAGAGUCACAAAAAAAUGCCAAACUUUUUUAAAUAUAAUAGUGGAAGAUGUAUAUAGAUACGUAAGACCCACCGGGUUAGUUCGGUUUGUAUAAAACGUUGGUAUCCACCGAAUAAGUUCACUUGAUAGGCCAAAAAUAAGCUUUGUAAAUAUGGCACGGAGUCGAGUGGUUACAUUUAGUAUUGUGGGUCACAUUCUAGAGGUGCAUUCAGAUUAUGUAACAUGUUAUAUAAUACGCCUUUAUUAUAUAACAUGUGUCCAUUUAUGUUAUAUAGUCUGUACGCACCUUAACGUAAUUUUUUUCUUUAAUAAAAUAUUUAUUAGUUUUUAAUUUUAAUAAUGUGACAGUAGCAAAACAUAGUAUUAUUUUAUUGAGCAGAAGAUUGAUACUUUCAAUUAUAUGUCUGAAAUAAAUGCAGAAAAUUUUAUUUGUGAACUCAGUUUAGUAGAGACAGAACUUUUUAAACGAUCGCCGAUUACAUAUUAUAAUUUAUAAUGUAACGUUAAUAAUUCAAAAUGGCGUACACUAUAUUAUUUCUUUCUUAUAUUUACUGAUGUGUGAGUGAGAGGCAACACUAAAUCUAAAAAAGUUAUGAUUCUACUAAAUUGUGAUCUCAAAAGGUUUUCCCUCUUUUGUCAAAACAUCAAAAUAACGUUAACAGUGACUACAGAUUAUACUACAUAGUUAAUUAAUCUUGUUAUAUGUGACACCAAUAUUUAUAUGAAAUUGCUUUAAGAUAGAAAAGUGUGGCUCAUUAUACCUGCCAAAUAUAUUCAUUCCUAGUGAAUUAUACUUUGAUCAAAUCUAUUCCAAAUAUUGGAUUGUUUGGUUUUCUCUAUCAUACUUGUGAAAAAGAUUGAUUAUGUUUGGCCAACUUUUUGAUGUUGGUACUAUUUGGACUUUGUUAUGUGUAACGCUCUGGUUUAAGGAAAAGUAAAGACGGGAUAUGGUGCAAGUAUUUUGAGUUCUUGGCACCGAGAGAAGCUGUUUUUACGUCAGACCAAGCUUCACUUUAACAAACACGUUUUUACCGCUCCGUCUUUCUUUUUUCUUUAGUCUGAGAUGAAAUAUUAUUUUCUGUAAUUCCAUAUUGUAAAAUUGUGUAACUAUUUGAUCUGAAAUUGUACUGAAUGGCGUACAUCUCAAUAUUUCGACCUCGUACGUAAGAAUAUGUGAAUUGUAAGAAUAUAUACUUAGUUUUAAUUGUAAAAAAUUGUAAAUUAUUAUUCUCCUGUACAUAAUACGAGAUUAAAUCUGCAUUCUGAUUAUUUUACAAUUUAAAAUUACUUUAGUUAUAUAAGUAUUUUUUUAUAUAACACAAGCAAUAGAUAGCCCUGUAGUAAGUAGUUAUAUUGUUGCAUUAUUGUAAAAAAGUGUAUAUUUUAUAUAAACAUUUAUGUGAAGUUUAUACAUAGUUUUUUUUUGUAAUUGUUAAACAGGUGAACUUGGAUUUGCCAAAUUAAUUUAAUGUUUUAAUUCUUCCAUUAAAGAAAGGGAUUAUUAUAUUUUGUAAAGAUGCCAAUACGAUGAUAGCAGGUUGAUAUUAAUAAAAAGUGAAAAUAAAAAUAAUAAAUCAAUUAA
Molecule: long non-coding RNA, 2742 nt
Organism: Maniola jurtina (meadow brown)
Lineage: Eukaryota; Metazoa; Arthropoda; Insecta; Lepidoptera; Nymphalidae
Exons: 2
Source: RefSeq, a predicted model, not a curated record